Molecule: ribosomal RNA, 497 nt
Filed under: uncultured bacterium
Lineage: Bacteria
Description: partial 16S ribosomal RNA
Rfam family: Bacterial small subunit ribosomal RNA
Source: RNAcentral
GAUGAACGCUGGCGGCGUGCCUAAUACAUGCAAGUCGAGCGAACAGAUGAGGAGCUUGCUCCUCUGACGUUAGCGGCGGACGGGUGAGUAACACGUGGAUAACCUACCUAUAAGACUGGGGUAACUUCGGGAAACCGGAGCUAAUACCGGAUAAUAUAUUGAACCGCAUGGUUCAAUAGUGAAAGCCGGUUUUGCUGUCACUUAUUGAUGGAUCCGCGCCGCAUUAGCUAGUUGGUACGGUAACGGCCUACCAAGGCAACGAUGCGUAGCCGACCUGAGAGGGUGAUCGGCCACACUGGAACUGAGACACGGUCCAGACUCCUACGGGAGGCAGCAGUAGGGAAUCUUCCGCAAUGGGCGAAAGCCUGACGCAGCAACGCCGCGUGAGUGAUGAAGGUCUUCGGAUCGUAAAGCUCUGUUAUUAGGGAAGAACAAAUGUGUAAGUAACUAUGCACGUCUUGACGGUACCUAAUCAGAAAGCCACGGCUAACUACGUG